AAUGAACUAAUGGCACCUACUUAAAGGCAGCAUUGGGAAGAUUACUUAAUUGACACUACUGAAGCAUCCUGAGGUGGAAGCCUGGUCAGAAAAUGUCCUCAGCCUUUGGAAUGGCACAGUUCUUAGAAAGCUGCUCCUUGGCUGAGCAGGAAGGCUCUUGGAGARAGGCCCUGCACAGCACCAUGAAUGAGAGGGACUUUGCACUUCCAGCCUGACAUGAGCUCUACGUCCAUCCUGCUCUGCGUGAAGAGACGGCUUCUGGAAGAAACCAAAAGUUCCAAUUCCCAACCCCGUGUUGCAGAGGGCAGUUUUCAGUUGGUGUUGGUUUAUGUUUUAUGUCUYUUAUCCCUUCUCUGACAAGAGUGCUGCUAAUCACAGUGAGAGCACAACUCUCUCCUCAGGUUGAACGAGCCACACUGAUUUAAUCCUUCUUUCCCUACAUCAGCAGCAGAUUUUCAAGUUAUCUGUACAUGGUAUCAUGAAAUGGAGGAGAACUUGUGCACUUUGAAGAAGCUUCUCCAGAAUCUUCACCAUCUCUCCUGCGAUUGAAAACCAUGGUGGUGGUACAGAACCGUGUUCUGAAAGGUGACAGGCUGUCCCUACCCUUGGUCCAGGAAAGACCCUGACAGGAGAGGACAAUGUGCUGGCUCACUGCUGGAGAAGGAAACACACACUGGGAUUGCUUGUCUUGGUUUCCAUACUGAGGAGGAGCCUGGAAAAAGACACCUUCUAGUCCUAGAGGUGUCCAUGGAUGAAAGGAUGGUUCACUUGCCUUCAGAUUUCAUUUUUGUACAAGAUGUUAGCUCUAAAAUUGCCUAAGAGAAAGGGAGAUGAUUUUACAUGCCAGCUGGGAGAAACUGUCUCCAAGCUGCAGGUUGCUGCACCCGCUUUUGAAAUGUUCUCAUCCAAGACUGGAGAUGUAAAUAGCAUUUUGCUGCAGUCCUCACAGACCAUCCUGAGGGACCAGCAGGACAAAAGGGGUCAGAAAUGUUUCUCCUCUUGCUGCAUUGGAUAAACAACUGGAAGAAGGCUAUGAAUUAGAGACUUCAAUGGGAAACAGCAAAUAACAUCAGCGGAAAAAGGCCAAGCUACAGAUAACUAUGGGAUACUGAACGUCCACAAGACAAGGAGUUAACUGAGCUUAUUGAGCACACACAUAGUAGAAACAAAAGACAUAAAAGAAAACUAGGUGGAAUAAUGAGUGGAAUCCAGCAGUUCCAGUAGCACAGUGAGGUGUGGUUUAUUCCAGGAAACGAGCAUUUGCAAUCAUCUGCUAAUAUCUAUUUAGAAAACCAUGUCUAAAUUUUCUGAGUUCCAAUAGUUUAAUUUUGGGGGGACAAGCUGCUUUUAUAAACCAGUCUGGACACACUCUUCUGCGUGCAAAUGGGAAAAGGAGAAGCUUCCUCCAGAAGCACAAGUCUAAUAGACAUAGCAAAACAGCAAAAAAUACAGGUGUGCACAGGGCUGUGCACAGAGCAGAGGAAAAUAUCAGGGAGAGUUGGAAAGGGCCUUUUAUGGGAAACUCACUAUGGUGGAUUGACUGCAGCAGCCUCUAAAAGCUGUUUGGCUGUAGGAAGCAUGGGCAAAUUCCCUGUCAGAUCAAUCAACUCUUUGAAGUGCCCCAAAACAGGCACUUUCCAUGCUAUGAUUUUUCAUUUUUAUUCUUUUACCAGAGGAUUUUGUUAGACUCUAGGACUUGGAGGACUAGGAUUUGGAGGAAAUGGCUGUGAGGCAGCACCAGGGCCUGGCAAAGCUGCAUUUUCACUAGUGCUGUCGUCAUUAACAGGAGCUGUUCAGGAUCUAGGUCAUCACAAGGUAAUAUCAAUUUGGUCUGAAUUGGGAGGCCCUGCACAAUCCCACUUCUGUCAAAUUAGCCAGGGUGAAUGAUGCAAAGUUUAUGCAACUUUGCAUUUUCAGAUGAUCUUUAUGCUUGCUGGGGGAGGAUGGCUGCCAGGGAGCCAGACGGGCUUAGAAGCUGAUCUGGCACAAAGGCUUUCAGGACACAGUUGCCCCAUUAAACAUUUUUAAACAAAUUUGCAAAGGCAAAGUGAAUUUGCAUUGGCUCAGUACUUUUCAUCCAGUGGUAAUAACAUUAUGUAAUACCAUAAAAUCAGAUUUAGCAUCUCCUCAAGUUGCCAUUGCAGCUCCCUGAGAUGCCGUUUUCCAGAGCACAGGCUGAAGAGCACAGCAGCUCAGCACUGCUGAGGAGCAGUGGUAGGCACUGCAAGUGCCAAGGAGGGGAAGGGACAGUUUCAAAUUGUGCUUAUGGUUGGAGAAAAGUGACUUUUUUUUUUUUUUUUAACGUAUCUGAAUACAAGUUAAUUCUGUAAAUGAAAACCGCAGAUGUCUUUAGCACAACAAGCUAGAUUAGAUUGAUGCCUGGGACUGUAUUGCAGCUGGCUGAAUUCUCCAGAACCAGUUGUUAAAACUCUCUGCUGGUUGCCACAGUGGCACUGAGGGCUCCCUCCCCCAGCUCUGCCCCCCUGGGUGCCUCCUCCCCAAAACUUGAGCUGGAAAAGGGGCUUCUCCACCUUCCUUUUCAGCCCUAAUUGAGGUGUUGAUAUCAUCACGUUUUGUUCUUGUCCUGCACCCUGUGACAAGGGGCAUGUUGCUGCUCUGUGGGCAUUGGAUGGAAAGAAGUGGGGUAGUCUUGAAUUUAGGGACUUCAAACUCUCUAGGGAUGUGGCAUCAAUUAGAGCAGCUGUUUUGUAAUCUUAACCUCUGCAGGGAUUGAAGUGGCUUCAUACAAUCAAUAAGUCUCUAAUACUUCUUUUAAGUGCUUUUUUCCCCUCUCCUUUUAAACAAGUAAAAACUUUGCUGCUAACCAAUGAGGUUUUCUGCUCAUGCAGUUACACCGAUGGCAGCAGACAGGUCCAAAGUUGGCCAGCGUCUUGCCAUCUCUUAGCCUGUUCCUUAACACAGACUCGUUUUUCAGUUCUGACGAGCAGAAGCUGUUUGUCCUGGUAUCGGUUUGACUUCACAUCGCAUAAUUCCCUUCCUGAACAACGUGAUGAAAGAUGUAUGAGAACAGGCAAGUGGUUCCUGUCUCUGCACAGCUACGCUGGGGUUACGCGCCACGUGUAGCGCUGCCGUGGCUGUAGCCCGGAGCGCUGCCAACGGGGAGUGAGGGCGCCGCUUGGAGCAGCGGGGGGAAUGUUCCCCUGGCGAGGUGUGCACAGAACUUGCACUCUGGACAGCCCCAGAGCGCA
Nothoprocta perdicaria is the source of this 3209-nucleotide long non-coding RNA. RefSeq lists it as uncharacterized. NCBI's taxonomy places the organism in Eukaryota, Metazoa, Chordata, Aves, Tinamiformes, Tinamidae. The transcript has 5 exons. The record is from RefSeq and is a predicted model, not a curated record.